GGCACUUCCAAAAUUGAUUUUGGCACUCCUCCCCUCUCACAUGAAUAGCAAGGGGGAGGAGUGCCAAAAUCUAUUUCGAAAGAGUUA
This 87-nucleotide microRNA precursor is filed under the name Salicornia europaea (common glasswort). RNAcentral describes it as "miR11030b stem-loop (seu-MIR11030b)". The record is from miRBase by way of RNAcentral. Lineage: Eukaryota; Viridiplantae; Streptophyta; Magnoliopsida; Caryophyllales; Amaranthaceae.